CAUUAGAUGACUGAAAGCAAGUGUUGGUCUCUUAAACCAAAUCAUAGUAAAUUAGCAACUACUUCUAAUGA
This 71-nucleotide transfer RNA is filed under the name Diplocheila zealandica. RNAcentral's name for it is "tRNA-Lys". Lineage: Eukaryota; Metazoa; Arthropoda; Insecta; Coleoptera; Carabidae. The record is from RNAcentral. RNAcentral also lists the same sequence under 2 other names.